GUCAAAAAUGUCUGGUGUGAAAAGGCCCAUGGAGCAGUCAAAUCCACAAAGCAAACAUCCCCCUGGAAGACGUUGUCUCACUGCAGCAUAGUUGUUAUUCACUGGCUGGAGGCGGAGUCUUACUCUUGCUCAAGACAAAAUACAUGGUUGGGUGACACGCGACGUCAGUCCACUCUCCAGAGGCCACCAUGUCAGCACAGUCUUCGUCGUCAUAGGCGUUGUUGGGCUCUCCUUUCCUCCAUCUGGCGAAGGUGGUCAUGGGAGAGCUAUCCACAAGAUAUACCAAUCUCUCCAGGAGGGCCAACUCGUCCUGGUCUCCCCGGUGCUCCUUUUUGACCUUUCUCCCCUGGUUCUCCUUUUGAAGGAAAAGACAGAAAAGAAUAAUAAGGACAUUCGAAGACAGAUUCUAUUUUUGUCCACUUUGUAUUGUUUAUGUAAAGAACUGCAUGCC
Molecule: long non-coding RNA, 451 nt
Organism: Scophthalmus maximus (turbot)
Lineage: Eukaryota; Metazoa; Chordata; Actinopteri; Pleuronectiformes; Scophthalmidae
Exons: 3
Source: RefSeq, a predicted model, not a curated record